Molecule: ribosomal RNA, 406 nt
Filed under: uncultured bacterium
Lineage: Bacteria
Description: bacterial SSU rRNA
Rfam family: Bacterial small subunit ribosomal RNA
Source: RNAcentral
UGGGGAAUAUUGCACAAUGGGGGAAACCCUGAUGCAGCGACGCCGCGUGAGCGAAGAAGUAUUUCGGUAUGUAAAGCUCUAUCAGCAGGGAAGAAGAAAUGACGGUACCUGACUAAGAAGCCCCGGCUAACUACGUGCCAGCAGCCGCGGUAAUACGUAGGGGGCAAGCGUUAUCCGGAUUUACUGGGUGUAAAGGGAGCGUAGGCGGCAUGGCAAGUCUGAUGUGAAAACCCAGGGCUCAACCCUGGGACUGCAUUGGAAACUGUCAAGCUGGAGUGUCGGAGAGGUAAGCGGAAUUCCUAGUGUAGCGGUGAAAUGCGUAGAUAUUAGGAGGAACACCAGUGGCGAAGGCGGCUUACUGGACGAUGACUGACGCUGAGGCUCGAAAGCGUGGGGAGCAAACAGG